RNAcentral lists this ribosomal RNA (1399 nucleotides) under uncultured bacterium. RNAcentral describes it as "16S ribosomal RNA". It matches the Rfam family "Bacterial small subunit ribosomal RNA". The record is from RNAcentral.
AGAGUUUGAUCCUGGCUCAGGAUGAACGCUAGCUACAGGCUUAACACAUGCAAGUCGAGGGGCAGCAUAAUGUCUAGCAAUAGAUGUUGAUGGCGACCGGCGCACGGGUGAGUAACACGUAUCCAACCUGGCCCAUACUAGGGAAUAGCCUGCCGAAAGGCAGAUUAAUGCCCUAUGUUGUGUAUUGAUGGCAUCAGAUUUGCACCAAAGAUUUAUCGGUAUGGGAUGGGGAUGCGUCCGAUUAGCUUGACGGCGGGGUAACGGCCCACCGUGGCUACGAUCGGUAGGGGUUCUGAGAGGAAGGUCCCCCACACUGGAACUGAGACACGGUCCAGACUCCUACGGGAGGCAGCAGUGAGGAAUAUUGGUCAAUGGGCGUAAGCCUGAACCAGCCAAGUAGCGUGAGGGAUGACUGCCCUAUGGGUUGUAAACCUCUUUUAUAAGGGAAUAACUGACGAUACGUGUAUUGUUUUGCAUGUACCUUAUGAAUAAUGACCGGCUAAUUCCGUGCCAGCAGCCGCGGUAAUACGGAAGGUCAGGGCGUUAUCCGGAUUUAUUGGGUUUAAAGGGAGCGUAGGCGGUUGGUUAAGCGUGUUGUGAAAUGUCCCGGCCCAACCGGGGAUGUGCAACGCGAACUGGCUGACUUGAGUGCGUACGAGGUAUGCGGAAUUCGUCGUGUAGCGGUGAAAUGCUUAGAUAUGACGAAGAACUCCGAUUGCGAAGGCAGCAUGCCAGGCCGCUACUGACGCUGAAGCUCGAAGGUGCGGGUAUCGAACAGGAUUAGAUACCCUGGUAGUCCGCACGGUAAACGAUGGAUGCCCGCUGUUUGCGAUAUACUGUGAGCGGCCAAGCGAAAGCGUUAAGCAUCCCACCCUGGGGAGUACGCCGGCAACGGUGAAAACUCAAAGGAAUCGACGGGGGCCCGCACAAGCGGAGGAACAUGUGGUUUAAUUCGAUGAUACGCGAGGAACCUUACCCGGGCUUGAAUUGCAGAGGAACAAUCCAGAGAUGGUGCGGCCCUUCGGGGCCUCUGUGAAGGUGCUGCAUGGUUGUCGUCAGCUCGUGCCGUGAGGUGUCGGCUUAAGUGCCAUAACGAGCGCAACCCCUGUUGCCAGUUGCCAUCCUUUAGUUGGGCACUCUGGCGAGACUGCCACCGUAAGGUGUGAGGAAGGUGGGGAUGACGUCAAAUCAGCACGGCCCUUACGUCCGGGGCUACACACGUGUUACAAUGGGUGAUACAGAGAGUCGUGCAUGCGCAAGUAUGUUCCAAUCUUUAAAGUCAUCCUCAGUUCGGACUGGGGUCUGCAACCCGACCCCACGAAGCUGGAUUCGCUAGUAAUCGCGCAUCAGCCAUGGCGCGGUGAAUACGUUAACCGGGCCUUGUACUCACCGCCCGUCA